Molecule: ribosomal RNA, 253 nt
Filed under: uncultured bacterium
Lineage: Bacteria
Description: partial 16S ribosomal RNA
Rfam family: Bacterial small subunit ribosomal RNA
Source: RNAcentral
GACGAACCGAGCGAACGUUAUUCGAAAUCACUGGGCUUAAAGGGCGCGUAGGCGGGCCAUCAAGUCAGGGGUGAAAGCCCCCAGCUCAACUGGGGAAGUGCCUCUGAUACUGGUGGCCUCGAGGGAGGUAGGGGCGUGCGGAACUUCCGGUGGAGCGGUGAAAUGCGUAGAUAUCGGAAGGAACACCGGUGGCGAAAGCGGCGCGCUGGACCUCUUCUGACGCUGAGGCGCGAAAGCCAGGGGAGCGAACGGG